Molecule: unclassified non-coding RNA, 261 nt
Filed under: uncultured fungus
Lineage: Eukaryota; Fungi
Description: sequence contains ITS1, 5.8S rRNA gene
Source: RNAcentral
GUAUUGAUUGCGUGUUAUCGCAAAAAUGAGGUCAUUCUACACAUUUUAAAAAGGGGUUUGUGUGAAAACGCAAGCCCCCCUCCUGGAUCUGUUCGAUCCCGAAGGGUGCCCACGCGGUGGUGCACAAAAGGGUGAGAUGGAUUUUAUGUGAGAGGACACACUCUGGCGUGCACGACUUUUGCGUUAAAAGUCAGCGACAGCCCUUGCAUGCCUCACACAUUUUGUACGAUAAUGAUCCUUCCGCAGGUUCACCUACGGAAA